This 372-nucleotide ribosomal RNA is filed under the name uncultured bacterium. RNAcentral's name for it is "bacterial SSU rRNA". It matches the Rfam family "Bacterial small subunit ribosomal RNA", at positions 524 to 898 of the family's 1533-position model. The record is from RNAcentral.
UACGGAGGGUGCGAGCGUUAUCCGGAAUCACUGGGUUUAAAGGGUGCGUAGGUGGCUUAAUAAGUCAGCUGUGAAAUGUCUGGGCUUAACCGAGGCAUUGCGGUUGAUACUGUUAGGCUUGAAUCAAGUUGAGGUGGCUAGAAUGUGACAUGUAGCGGUGAAAUGCAUAGAUAUGUCAUAGAAUACCAAUUGCGAAGGCAGGUUGCUAGACUUUGAUUGACACUGAGGCACGAAAGCGUGGGGAUCAAACAGGAUUAGAUACCCUGGUAGUCCACGCCCUAAACGAUGCUUACUAGCUGUUUGGAAGUAAUUCUGGGCGGCCAAGCGAAAGCGAUAAGUAAGCCACCUGGGGAGUACGCCCGCAAGGGUGAA